This 509-nucleotide ribosomal RNA is filed under the name uncultured bacterium. Its description in RNAcentral is "partial 16S ribosomal RNA". The record is from RNAcentral.
GGAGUUAGCCGGUGCUUCUUCUGCGAGUAACGUCACAGAUGUAAGGUAUUAACUUACACCCUUUCCUCCUCGCUGAAAGUGCUUUACAACCCGAAGGCCUUCUUCACACACGCGGCAUGGCUGCAUCAGGGUUUCCCCCAUUGUGCAAUAUUCCCCACUGCUGCCUCCCGUAGGAGUCUGGGCCGUGUCUCAGUCCCAGUGUGGCUGAUCAUCCUCUCAGACCAGCUAGGGAUCGUCGCCUAGGUGAGCCUUUACCUCACCUACUAGCUAAUCCCACCUGGGCUUAUCCAUCAGCGCAAGGCCCGAAGGUCCCCUGCUUUCCCCCGUAGGGCGUAUGCGGUAUUAGCAGUCGUUUCCAACUGUUAUCCCCACAAAUGGGCAAAUUCCCAGGCAUUACUCACCCGUCCGCCGCUCGUCAUCUUCAAAGCAAGCUUUUGAAAUGUUACCGCUCGACUUGCAUGUGUUAGGCCUGCCGCCAGCGUUCAAUCUGAGCCAUAAUCAAACUCUGA